GUAACACGUAGUCAACCUGCCCUGGAGACAUGGAAAACCCCGGGAAACUGGGAUUAAUCCGUGAUAGGUCACCUCAUCUGGAAGGAGAGAUGGCUUAAAGGGGUGCGAGAGCUUCUUUCUUGCAUUCGCUCCAGGAUGGGACUGCGGCCGAUCAGGCUGUUGGCGGUGUAAUGGACCACCAAACCUGUAACCGGUACGGGCCUUGAGAGAGGGGGCCCGGAGAUGGACACUGAGAGAAGGGUCCAGGUCCUACGGGGCGCAGCAGGCGCGAAACCUUCGCAAUGCGCGAAAGCGUGACGAGGUUAAUCCGAGUGGUCCCCGCUGAGGGGAUCUUUUGUUGGCUGUAAAAAGGCCGAUGAAUAAGGGGAGGGCAAGUCUGGUGUCAGCCGCCGCGGUAAUACCAGCUCCUCGAGUGGUCGGGGCGAUUAUUGGGCCUAAAGCAUCCGUAACCGGUUCUGUUCGACCUAAGUCAAAUCCA
This 478-nucleotide ribosomal RNA is filed under the name uncultured archaeon. RNAcentral's name for it is "bacterial SSU rRNA". It matches the Rfam family "Archaeal small subunit ribosomal RNA", at positions 93 to 553 of the family's 1478-position model. The record is from RNAcentral.